UGAAUAUGUAAAAAAAUUAUUUCUCAAAUUUGUGUUGGCUUGUUGUCUAAUAGUCAGUUCAAUUUCUUUAGUCAUCUAACCAGUGUAUUGACUUGUUGUCCUUACUUUAUAGUCAAUUCAUAUCUAGUAUCAAUGAACUACAUCUGUUUUUUUACCUGAUCAUUCGUUAAGAAUACUUGAAAUUCUUUGGUACAAUUGCUCAUUCGAUAAAUACUUCGUCUAUAGUCAGAUACUGACUAUGUUCACCUAUGUAAUUCUGAGAUCUGUUUCAAGUCGUUCCAUUUUAUAAGGGAGAGUAGAAUAAAAAAGAAGAAAGCACCUUGAUUUAAGUACUUUUUUCAUUGGUUGAAGUGCUGCCAGAAUAAACUUGAAAUUCAAUUGUUUUCCAUAUUAGAGAAAGCGGUUGAUCUUUCUUGACUAUUCCGUGUUAUUUUAAAGUACCUGCACAUAUAGCCGUUAAGUAAUCCAUAUCAACAUCUCUGCCAGGAAUUAAAUCCGAAUACAUUGUGUCAAAGCUAAAUCCUUCCAUUUUGAAUAGAAAUUAAUAACCGAAGAAAUCCAUAUAUGCAAGUCUGUAUCUACCACAUACUAAGUAGUCACCAUGAAGAACAUUACCUUCAUUCAAGCAUAGUAGCAUAAUCCUCUUCUCUUGUCCGUAAUUAAACAUCCCACUACCCCAAUCAAGUAAUCUUUUCUUAGAAUCAUAUUUCAGCUCUUUACUCAAAACCUUGAUGACCUAUAGGCAAAAAAGUAGAUAGUGUUAACUUCUUUACUCAACAAAAUGCUCUUAGCUCUUCAUAAUCAAAUUUGUUCUUUUGUUGCCCUUCUAGUUUAGAAGAUCCUCACUUAUGUUGUAUCAUGUAUGGUUCAAAUUAAUUACCUCUUCGCUCAUCUUGGCAACAACUUAACCCUAUGGCAGAUAUAAAAUCAGUCAAUAUACGUUAUAAGUUACUUCAUUCCAUACAAAAUUUCAUAAAUAGACUAUUUCCAACUGUCAGCACUUGCAUUGAAACACAAAUCUUAGAGAAACAACUUUAACAAAAAAAAAGAUAUAACAUUCAGAGUUUACCGUUGGAGAUUUCGGCACUUUUCACAAUAGCCUAGAUGAAAGGGAAUGAAACACUUCCUUGUCAUUAGAAGAAAAAACGUAACUUCCUUUCCUUUGAAGGAAAAGGGACACAUGUUACAAUAUAUAAUUCACUGUGUACAUGUACAUGUCAAGGACUCAAGAAUUGAUAAAGUUAAUAAUAUUUGACAAUAUAACACAGGUGCAACAACAUUUUGGAGGAUCCAAGCAACAUAAGUCGUGGAUAUAACACAAUCAAAACCAUACAUUUCAAAAUUACCUUCAUUAGUAGAUGGAUUCAGGUUCUUGGUGCUUUACUUUUUUUUUAAAAAAAUGAUAAGAGAAAUGACAACUAUUUAUUGGGAAAGGGAACAAUAACAUAAAUAACUAUUCAGAUACAGUUAUGCAAUGAAUGGUUUCCUGACAAUUGAGAUCUGGAAGGGGGAUUUAUUAACAUCGGCACUGUUAGCAAUGGAGUAAUAUUAAUUAGUUUCUAGACAUAACAUCUUAUAUGAGUUCAAGAUAAAGUACAAUCAGAUUAUGAACUUGCAAUUCUUGAGAAACAAAAAUCCCAUCAUAGUUAAGGAUGGCACCCGACCUCUUUCAUUUAACAGAAGGUAAUCUACUAUAAUGUAAUACUUUGGAGAGAACCAACAACACAAAAAUUUGGUUCUAUGUCAGCCCUUUGCUUAGGGGAAUUGGGACAAAAGAAUGGUUGGGACAACAAACAUUUAUCUCCAAAUUUGAUCGUAUACUUCAUUACAAGUUUACAACUAUAUGAUUCAGAGCUAUUCAGAGUAUCAUUCAUAUUUGAUCCCUUUAACUUUCAUAUUCGAGUUGGUACUCUACAUAUUAGAAGCAAAGUUCCCUCUAUAACAUUUUGGAACAGUCAUUUGAGUAUCAAAAAGUAAUCCAAGUUCUUUCCUUACUAUUAUUCCUAAGUUUAAAUAUCGACUCAAAACUAUAAAAGAUAUUUUGAACAAGAAAAAGAAACAAGCAGUAAACCAAUGAAGGAAUGCACUAACUUUCAUUAGCGAAUACAUACACCCAAAAGGAUAACAACUACUAAACAAAGUAUUGAAAUAGAAGAAGAUAGAUACAGUUAGAGAUUGAAGUUCAGUUCAUACAAAAAGGAAAUGGAAAUGAUAAAAAUUGAAAUAAAUACAUAAAAUAUAGCUUACCAAACACUAAGAUUGCUGAUGACCGAAUCUGUCUUUUCUCUUUUGAAUUUUUGUCAAACACCUCGCCAUAUCC
This 2320-nucleotide long non-coding RNA is filed under the name Solanum tuberosum (potato). RNAcentral's name for it is "long non-coding RNA (STUB_LNC002028)". The record is from RNAcentral. Lineage: Eukaryota; Viridiplantae; Streptophyta; Magnoliopsida; Solanales; Solanaceae.